AUGGAUUCAAUUUCGAACGCCUUCUUCCUAAAACUUUGAUAAUGUAUUUUUAUCUACAAGAUCUGGGUCAAAAGAACCAAAAUUAAUUUUUUUAAAAAUCUGGUAAAGCUGCAGAACACAUUCAUUAGGACCUACUGACACUCGCAGGUGCAGCAAAGAAAGAUAAUCAUGAAAUUAUUUUUCUUUCCUCUCUUGUUCCUAGUCCUCUUUCGUUCGUGUGAAGGUGAUCAAUGUCUAUUUGGAGCAGUGUGUUUUAACCAUGAACUUUCGACAGUAGAAAAUGGACAGACCUAUUGCUGCAUGAGCGGCUACCACACCAUUUAUACCAGUCUCCACAAUAAUGCCGGGCACCUGAGUGUUGCAUGUCAAUGCCUUCUGGCGUAAACGGACUCUCAUAAAACUGUGUACCUGUGGAUAGACUUGCAUGCAUAUUGUAAAACUAAUAAAGUUUACAAAUUUUU
Biomphalaria glabrata is the source of this 461-nucleotide long non-coding RNA. RefSeq lists it as uncharacterized. Lineage: Eukaryota; Metazoa; Mollusca; Gastropoda; Planorbidae. The record is from RefSeq and is a predicted model, not a curated record. The transcript is spliced from 4 exons.